GAGGGUGUAGCUCAGUGGUAGAGCACAUGGCUUAGCAUGCACAAGGUCCUAGGUUCAAUCCCCAGUACCUCCA
Molecule: transfer RNA, 73 nt
Organism: Camelus ferus (Wild Bactrian camel)
Lineage: Eukaryota; Metazoa; Chordata; Mammalia; Artiodactyla; Camelidae
Rfam family: tRNA
About the family: Transfer RNA (tRNA) molecules are approximately 80 nucleotides in length.
Source: Rfam